GCUUCUUUAUCCAUUCAUCUGUCGAUGGACAUCUAGGUGGCUUCCGUGUUCUAGCUAUUGUAAACAGUGCUGCACUGAACAAUGGGAUACAUGUGUCUUUUUCAAUUUUGGUAAAGCCUCCAUCAGCCUUCUCCUGGCCUUGGCCAAAGGGUGCGUGCCAGUGGCUUUGGUGACUCUAGAUAACCUUGGGCCGAUUGCACACCCCCCAUGGCAGUGAGGACCUAUUCGAAUGUCUGCUUUAUCAACUUGGGAUGGUAAUCACUGUGCCUAUCUUGGUGACCAUGGGUGAUGGGUAAUCAGGGUUCGAUUCCAGAGAGGGAGCCUGAGAAAUGGCUACCACAUCCGAGGAAGGCAGCAGGUGUGCAAAUUACCCACACCCAACAGGGGGAGGUAGUGAU
This 398-nucleotide non-coding RNA is filed under the name Bos taurus (domestic cattle). Its description in RNAcentral is "Eukaryotic small subunit ribosomal RNA". It matches the Rfam family "Eukaryotic small subunit ribosomal RNA", at positions 126 to 470 of the family's 1831-position model. RNAcentral also lists the same sequence under 1 other name. Lineage: Eukaryota; Metazoa; Chordata; Mammalia; Artiodactyla; Bovidae. The record is from Rfam by way of RNAcentral.